Molecule: ribosomal RNA, 625 nt
Filed under: Naganishia liquefaciens
Lineage: Eukaryota; Fungi; Basidiomycota; Tremellomycetes; Filobasidiales; Filobasidiaceae
Description: eukaryotic LSU rRNA
Rfam family: Eukaryotic large subunit ribosomal RNA
Source: RNAcentral
GCAUAUCAAUAAGCGGAGGAAAAGAAACUAACAAGGAUUCCCCUAGUAACGGCGAGUGAAGCGGGAAGAGCUCAAAUUUGAAAUCUAGUAGCCUUCGGCUGCUCGAGUUGUAAUCUAGAGAAGUGUUUUCCGUGCCGGCCCAUGUACAAGUCCCUUGGAACAGGGCGUCAUAGAGGGUGAGAAUCCCGUCCUUGACAUGGACCCCCGGUGCUCUGUGAUACACUUUCAACGAGUCGAGUUGUUUGGGAAUGCAGCUCAAAAUGGGUGGUGAAUUCCAUCUAAAGCUAAAUAUUGGCGAGAGACCGAUAGCGAACAAGUACCGUGAGGGAAAGAUGAAAAGCACUUUGGAAAGAGAGUUAAACAGUACGUGAAAUUGUUGAAAGGGAAACGAUUGAAGUCAGUCAUGCUCUUUGGUAUUUAUAUCAUUGAGUGGGGUCAACAUCAGUUUUGAUCGAUGGAUAAAGGCACUAGGAAGGUAGCACUCUCGGGUGAACUUAUAGCCUGGCGUCAUAUACAUUGAUUGGGACUGAGGAACGCAGCAUGCCUUUAUGGCCGGGAUUCGUCCACGUACAUGCUUAGGAUGUUGACAUAAUGGCUUUAAACGACCCGUCUUGAAACACGGACC